AUUGAACGCUGGCGGCAUGCCUUACACAUGCAAGUCGAACGGUAACAGGUUAAGCUGACGAGUGGCGAACGGGUGAGUAAUGUAUCGGAACGUGCCCAGUCGUGUGGGAUAACUGCUCGAAAGAGCAGCUAAUACCGCAUACGACCUGAGGGAGAAAGCGGGGGAUCGCAAGACCUCGCUCGAUUGGAGCGGCCGAGAUCCGAUUAGGUAGUUGGUGAGGUAAAGGCUCACCAAGCCGACGAUCUGUAGCUGGUCUGAGAGGACGACCAGCCACACUGGGACUGAGACACGGCCCAGACUCCUACGGGAGGCAGCAGUGGGGAAUUUUGGACAAUGGGCGCAAGCCUGAUCCAGCCAUGCCGCGUGCGGGAAGAAGGCCUUCGGGUUGUAAACCGCUUUUGUCAGGGAAGAAAAGGUUCUGGCUAAUACCUGGGAAUCAUGACGGUACCUGAAGAAUAAGCACCGGCUAACUACGUG
Molecule: ribosomal RNA, 477 nt
Filed under: uncultured bacterium
Lineage: Bacteria
Description: partial 16S ribosomal RNA
Rfam family: Bacterial small subunit ribosomal RNA
Source: RNAcentral